AGUCGUUCUACUAUGGCAUGGUGGAAAACGCGGGUAUGGGCAGCGGGUACCUAUAGGGGCUUCAUAUAGGGUAUUUAUAGGGGCUUCGGUGGCCAAGUGGUUAGCGCACUUGCCUUUCACCUCUGAGGCUGCAGGUUGGAGUCUCACUAAGUACCUUCUCAGUGCGACUCGAACCCAGUCCCCAUGUGAAAAGAGUAAAAGUCGACGCUCUGCCGAAAGCCGUGGGUUUUCCCCGGGUACUCCGGUUUCCUCCCACAGGGAAAGUUGACAGGGUGGGUUAGGUAAGAAAAGGGCCCACAGUAAUUGGCAUAUGCUGUUGUAGUGACCCUGCCCUAGUUGGCAAAGCUAAAUAAAUAAAUACCUGGUAGCGGG
This is a non-coding RNA of Paramuricea clavata, 372 nucleotides long. Lineage: Eukaryota; Metazoa; Cnidaria; Anthozoa; Malacalcyonacea; Plexauridae. The record is from the annotation of a GenBank genome assembly.